Uranotaenia lowii is the source of this 815-nucleotide long non-coding RNA. RefSeq lists it as uncharacterized. The transcript has 4 exons. Lineage: Eukaryota; Metazoa; Arthropoda; Insecta; Diptera; Culicidae. The record is from RefSeq and is a predicted model, not a curated record.
AAGAAAAGUUCCACCUAAAAAAACUUCAAUAGUGGACAAUCGGCAUUAAGGUAGGGAGUGGACAAGGAUACUACCCCAUUCCGGAUUACCAGCGCAUCCUACCAGCAUGCGAAGAUAAAAUCUCAUCUCAUCCGAGGACUUACUGGUUAACAAAAUCAGAAGGUGAUUCUAUUUGCCGUUCCCGGGAAGUUCUGCCCAGGUACGCCGAGAAAGCGGCUCAUUUGAAAGCGACAUGAGUGGAGAAAUUUUCGAUCAACGAAAGUCAAGCGGCAAGGCCUACAAAGUCGCUGGAAAGAUAGAACAUAGCGGAUAAGGAACUGAAUGCGCUGCCAAGAAAGGCGGAAAUCUCUAAAGAAGAGGACGGAAACGCCCGAAAGCUGCACGGUUAUAUACGUUAUGAUUACUACUUUCUGAGGGUUGGAAUCAUCUUCUGGUUUGACGAGCGAUCUUCUUGCAUGGAAAUAGCGAAGACUAAAGAGGGUCGCACGAAGACGGCGGUAAAAGGAUAAUCAAACAAAACCCUUACUGUACCGGAUUCGGACCAGGCUUGACGUAGCUCUUCGGCGGCUUACAAUGCUUCGAACGCAAAUAGUUGCAAGAAAAAUUAAAUGGACUAAACUAAUCAGUUACCGAAUCGGCUAAAAUGAUCAACAUUGAAAGGUCUGUUGCGCAGUGCCGAAUAACUGCUUCAUCGUUGAACGCAAAUAUGUGAUGUACAUUGCGACAAUCAAUAUUGUUACGGACAAGUACCUCAUACGUGUAAUGAACGGGAGGAAAGGUUUAGGUGUGCGGAGGACAAUGAUGGGCAACUGGAC